GUUUUGGAGAGUUAUAAAGAAACGUUCUCACUUAAGUUUUCAUAUAAAAGCCUUUCUGAAGUGUGCGAUUUCUCAGAGCUGCACAGGAGAUUCAUUCUUUUCAGCUCAUCACAAGAUUAUACAACAGCAGAAUGUACAAGAAAUUAAUGCACUGGAGAACAUUUAUGAAGAAACACAGACUGAUGAUAAUAAAAAACACUGUAUGGACAAGAGAGAAAGAGAAAAUGGUGAACAAAAAAGAUAAAAAUUUACAAUCUAAUCAUCCAAAACAGAAAAAGAGGCAGACUCUAGUCAGACAAAACAGCAUUAACAGCGGCAAACCAAACCUUUCUUGUGUAACACAGAUUCAUUCUGGUGUUUCAGAGUCACACAAGAGGUGAGACACACACAUCAUAUACAGAGAAUAAAAACUGUGCUGAACUGAUGCACAAAUCUGGUGCUAUAUUGAUCUGUCUGUGUGUGUGUGUGUGUGUUACAGUUCUGAGUGUGUUUUCUCUUUUAGACUUACAGUAUAAGAUGAAUGUGUUUGAAUGGAUUUUAUAUUGAACGGAGUCUUGUGGUGCCAUCCCAAAGAGACACAAAAUCACUUUCACAGACCUUUUCCUUGUCUGUUCUCUGCUCUCUAACUCAAUCUGAGCAGCCUUUAGCCAUCUUCAAGAAACUGCUAAUGAUGCAUCUUUAUCACCAACACUACACCCAUUAAUACUAACACUUACAAUUCUAUAUCUGUAUAUCAAUUUAUUUUUUAUAUAUUUAAAAAAAAAACUUGGUAUGUGUACUGUGCUGGAUUAACUGGGACCAGCGCCCUUGCAUAUUGUUGGUUUGAUACUUCUUUUGUUCUCUUCAUUUGUAAAUCGCUUUGGACAAAAGAGUCUAUUAAAUGAUUCAAUGUAAUAGAGUCUCAUGAACACAGUCGAGCACAGAAGACCUACUGUACAGCCAAGGUCAGGAUUUUCAUUAAAUAAUACAUUAAAUUUCGGUUUGUUUUUUUACCAAACCCUACUGUAUAUUCCCAGAAUACUUGGAAUGUAUGGCAUCUGUUGCAUUGGACCAAUUUGUGACUCUUUUGCAUCUUUUUUAAAGCUUGAUACUGAGCUCUGUUUACUGUCAUUAUAUGGACUAGAGCAGGACACUUUUUAAAAACUCUUCUUUUGUGGUUUGAAAAAGAAAGAAGGGCAUGCUGCAUUAGAACCCCAGGAUGACUUCAUUUUCUUUUUAGGGUGAACUAUCCCUUUAAGAAUAUUUGGCCUGUACUUGCUUAACCUUUAAUUAAAAUAUACUUGUAAUUAAGUGUAAUUAAGUGUAAGUGUAAUUAAAUGUAAUUAAGUGUUCUAAGUAUACUUGGCUUGUAGUUGUGUUUACACAUUUCAAUCAUGACAACUGUUGUAAGAUUGUUAGCAUGGUAGACAAUGUUAAUGUAUUUGGACUUGAUGGAACAUGACUGAGCUAUGUAUUUCAAUGAGUUUACAUACAGUCUUAUAAACUGGCAUUGUUUGAAAAUAUUGAUUAAAGCAGAAAUAUUGCUAAAGUAUGUGAAUGUUUGUGUAGUCCACAGGUAGUGUACAUAGGAAUCUACUAACUCUUUCCCCACCAUUGAGGGAAUUUUCUGACAUUUGUGACACAAUGCUUCCCCGCCAAUGACAGAAUUUUCCGUCAAUCCAUGUUUUCACUGUUAUAUGGUAGGGGGCGCUAUUACACAUCUUCUGAAAGAGUACAGAAUCUCCAGAUCAAAACACAGGUGAAGAAGCAGAAACUGUGAUGAAGCAUUGCUGACGCUCAUAUAAAAUAACAUGAUCAUUAAACAUUAAACAACAUAUAAAUCAAAACUGCCUAAUCUUACUGAAUGAAAUAUCAAACCCAUGAAGAGGAAAUUAUAGAGGAGUUUAUAGAUCGACUUUAACGAAAACGCAAUGAAACUUACCCAUAUUCAAGUGUUGAUAAAAAAGAAAUUAAUGAAGCUCAAAUAAAAUGGUUUGUUGUUUAAAAUCAGAGGCUAUGUUCUUUCUUUUGAUAUAUUGUAUGUUUAGAUAUUCCUACAAAAAUAUUGUGGCACUGGCUGGUAUCUUUAAAAAAAGAAGGAAAAAAAAAAAAAAAAAAUCUAAUGAUUUUAUCUGCAAAAGCGUAAGUACUAAACAAAAUAUAGUUUUGGUGAAAUAAAAAUGUAAUUCUUACAUUGAUCAUAGGACUUUAGUGUGACUUGAGUUGACUGUGUUGCAAGCUUUAUGUAACUGCUCACAUGAUUCCUCGAGUAUAUGACCGGGGCGCCUGCAGCAGAGCCUGGCCUGCAGGACUGUCAUGCGCUGCACAAGAAAAAACAAAAAACAAAAUCAAAACAAGCCACAUUAGCCACAUUAUUUAAAGCUUUGCCCCACUGUAAACUGGGAAAGUUAUACACUGUAGUAUAGAAGUUAGACAUUCUCAGUUUUGCUGAACAAAAAAAACAUAUGUUGUACAUAAGAUGUGGAAAAAAAGUAGGCCUAUUUAAGAGGGUACUCGAUCAAAAGAGUACACAGAACUACAAGCCAAGUAUAAUUAGAAUACUUAAUUAUACUUUUAAUUUGAUUAAUUCGAGACUAUAGAAUAGCAAUUGCAUUAAAUAGAAUUAAUUUUUUUAAUAGUGUUUGUUACCCUCUUUGACCACCAGAUAGCGAAACUAUGCAAACUCAAAAGUUUUCAUAUGCUCAGAAUUAGGAAUGUAUAAUUUUUUUAUAAAUCAAUAUUUUCAAACAAUUUAAGUAGACAUUUUAUGUGGAAAAAAAGUAGGCCUAUUUAAGAGGAUACUCAAUCAAGAGAGUACACAGAACUACAAGCCAGGUAUAAUUAGAAUACUUAAAUCUUUGGAUCGAUAUAUAAUUAAAAGUAUAAUUGUGUACAAGUUCAGUUCAGCUCACAUUUAUUUGUACAGCGCUUUUCACAAUAAAUAUAGUUUCAAAUCAGCUUUACAGAAAACAUUACACUACAUAUAAAAUACAAUCUCUACACAAUACAAAUGUACAGGCCAAAUAUACUUCAACUUUUCUGUCAUUACAAGUCAAGGAUACUUAAGUGUAAUUAAGUAUAUAACUAAAAAUAUAUUACUAAAAAUACUUAAAAAUGAAGAGAUCAUUGUAUGUUGUGUAAGACAAAAGCUGAGAUCAAGCACCCGGCAAUAAAGCAAUAAAACUCAUCUAGAGAGAAGAUCUAAAAGAAUAGGACACUGCCUUGCCCAAACUCUCCUCACACAUCCACCACCCCACCCUCCCCCCCACCCCACCCCACCCCUACACCCUUCCUUCCCAUCCCACCCACCCCCACCCCCACACCCUUCCUUCCACCCCCACCCCCACCCCCCUACACCCCCACUUCCUUCCUUUCCCUCCCAGGCUCAAGUCACACAAAGUUCUCUAAGUUCUCUGUAUCUAUUGUUUUUUCACUUUCAUGUUUGGUAUCAUUUUAAAGGUCUCAGUGCGAUUGGUAAAAUGGUCUCAAUUUCACUUGUGUUAUGAAAAACUUUGAAAACUCAGGAGAAUUCUGUGCUCCUUUUGAGCUUAGCUGAGUGACUAACUUAACCAUUCUGAUCUGUGAAAUCUUUCACAAAUAAUAACAGUGAACUUAGAGACUCAGGGAAGAGUUAGCUGACAAAACUGUACUGUGUUUUCACAAAUAAAACUACUGAUGUUAGGGACACCGGGAAAAGUUCUCUGACUAAAACUGCACUGUGAAAGACUUCACAAAUCAGAGAGUGGACGGAGAAGAGCUUUACUUUGAAAAAAAGCAGUUCACGAUGACACUGCGGUUCUAAGAGUCACAUCCCAUGGUUUCAGAUGCUGUGGUCAGGUGUGUAAACAAGAAAGUCAGAAAUGUGAGAUUUUAAACAUUGAGAAAAAGGUGAGAGUUGUUUAUUGUUUAUAUUAGCAAUUCUGAGAAACAAAACUAUUCUGUGGCCAAAACAAACUUUUGGUUAAAACAGGAAGAGUUCACAGGUGGUUUCACUUUAUGCUUAUAAAACACUAAACAGCCAGAGCACAGAUGUCAGAGCUGAGUGGAUAUUUCCUUUUUGGCUGAUCACAAGAAUAACUAAAUGGACAAAAGAGAAAGAGAAAAAUGGUGAACAAAAAGGACAAAAAUUUACAAUCUAAUAAAUCAAUACAGAAAAAGACACCGAGUCUAGUCAGACAAAACAGCAUUAAUAGUGGCAAACCAAACUGAGUAUUUAUGAUGUUUCAGAUCAAAUACUUUCAUAUUUCAUCAUCAACAGUGUUUCAUCUUCUCUGUGUCUGAAUGUGUAAAAUCAAUUUUAAACUAUAUCUUUUUAGUCACUCUGUAUUAACUAUAAAGGAACAGCAAGUUUACAAAUUGUUAUAUUGUCAUGUGGACUAUGCAAACAUGUUAUGUGAAAUUCAGUUCAAAUCUGUUAUGCUUAUAGUCAGGGCAGGACUUUUGUUUUAAAAUCACAUAGUAUUAAUUAAAAUUAUUACCAUUUUGCAGAUUCUGCCAGAUGCAUGUAAAUUUAUGUCCACAAAUGCAUGAUGCUUUGAUUCAAAGUGAAACUGAUUCAUGAAUCAGUUCAUUCAAUCAAAUGAUACACUGCUGUUUGAGCUACAUAUGUUUGUGUUCUUCAUUUCCAGUUUCUCACGUUGCACAGAUUCAUUCUGGUGUUUCAGUGAGUUGCAGAAGAGGUGAGACACUCACACAUCACAUACAGAGAAUAAAUAGAGUUGAAACUUUGUAGAACUGAUGUUAUAUUGAUCUUUGUGUGUUAUAUUUCUGAGAGUGUCUUUUCAGAAAGCAGCAGUUCUAUUCAUCUCACCUAAAAAUAUUCUUCAUUUUACCUAAACUUCUUGUUUUGUGUUCAUUUUCUCAUUGUAAUUGAUCAUUUAAUUAAUAAAAAUCAGCAAGAGAGAUAA
Long non-coding RNA from Ctenopharyngodon idella (grass carp), 4886 nucleotides. RefSeq lists it as uncharacterized. Lineage: Eukaryota; Metazoa; Chordata; Actinopteri; Cypriniformes; Xenocyprididae. The transcript has 4 exons. The record is from RefSeq and is a predicted model, not a curated record.